UUCCGCCCCUUUGCCCUUUUCUCCCGCGCUUCUGUUUCCUCUUUUUUUUUUUUUUCCUUUUGGGUUUGUUUCCCUUGCUCAGGACGAACGCUGGCGGCGUGCCUAAUACAUGCAAGUCGAGCGGACAGAUGGGAGCUUGCUCCCUGAUGUUAGCGGCGGACGGGUGAGUAACACGUGGGUAACCUGCCUGUAAGACUGGGAUAACUCCGGGAAACCGGGGCUAAUACCGGAUGGUUGUUUGAACCGCAUGGUUCAAACAUAAAAGGUGGCUUCGGCUACCACUUACAGAUGGACCCGCGGCGCAUUAGCUAGUUGGUGAGGUAACGGCUCACCAAGGCAACGAUGCGUAGCCGACCUGAGAGGGUGAUCGGCCACACUGGGACUGAGACACGGCCCAGACUCCUACGGGAGGCAGCAGUAGGGAAUCUUCCGCAAUGGACGAAAGUCUGACGGAGCAACGCCGCGUGAGUGAUGAAGGUUUUCGGAUCGUAAAGCUCUGUUGUUAGGGAAGAACAAGUACCGUUCGAAUAGGGCGGUACCUUGACGGUACCUAACCAGAAAGCCACGGCUAACUACGUGCCAGCAGCCGCGGUAAUACGUAGGUGGCAAGCGUUGUCCGGAAUUAUUGGGCGUAAAGGGCUCGCAGGCGGUUUCUUAAGUCUGAUGUGAAAGCCCCCGGCUCAACCGGGGAGGGUCAUUGGAAACUGGGGAACUUGAGUGCAGAAGAGGAGAGUGGAAUUCCACGUGUAGCGGUGAAAUGCGUAGAGAUGUGGAGGAACACCAGUGGCGAAGGCGACUCUCUGGUCUGUAACUGACGCUGAGGAGCGAAAGCGUGGGGAGCGAACAGGAUUAGAUACCCUGGUAGUCCACGCCGUAAACGAUGAGUGCUAAGUGUUAGGGGGUUUCCGCCCCUUAGUGCUGCAGCUAACGCAUAAGCACUCCGCCUGGGGAGUACCGCCACGGGG
This 965-nucleotide ribosomal RNA is filed under the name Bacillus subtilis. RNAcentral describes it as "bacterial SSU rRNA". It matches the Rfam family "Bacterial small subunit ribosomal RNA", at positions 1 to 893 of the family's 1533-position model. The record is from RNAcentral. Lineage: Bacteria; Bacillati; Bacillota; Bacilli; Caryophanales; Bacillaceae.